RNAcentral lists this long non-coding RNA (5716 nucleotides) under Brassica napus (rape). RNAcentral's name for it is "long non-coding RNA (BNAP_LNC018438)". The record is from RNAcentral. Lineage: Eukaryota; Viridiplantae; Streptophyta; Magnoliopsida; Brassicales; Brassicaceae.
GAGACUGAUGUGCUUGGAGGAAAGAUAGCUAAGACACCUCUUGAGGAGGGGUAUAAGGUUCUGCGUGAGGGGGAGGUUGAAGAGAAGCAGUUGUUUGAUGAUGCUAAGCUGUAUAGGAAGAUGGUUGGCAAGCUGAUCUACUUGACUAUCACCAGACCUGAUAUAUGUUUUGCUGUGAAUCAAGUAAGUCAGCAUAUGCAGGCACCAAAGGUACAUCACUGGAAGAUGGUUGAUAGGAUACUGAGGUAUUUGAGUGGCACGCCUGGUCAAGGAGUUUGGAUGGGUUGUAAUGGCAGUACAGAAGUGGUUGGGUAUUGUGAUGCUGAUUGGGCAGGAGAUAGAGUGGACAGGAGAUCAACUACUGGGUAUUGUACAUUCAUUGGAGGGAACCUGGUUACUUGGAAAAGUAAGAAGCAGAAGGUCAUCUCCUGUUCAAGUGCUGAGGCUGAGUAUAGGGCUAUGCUGAAGCUAACAAACGAAUUGGUAUGGAUCAAGGGUAUCUUGAAGCAUUUGGAGAUUGAGCAGAGUACUCCUAUGACAAUGCACUGUGACAAUCAAGCAGCUAUCCACAUUGCUUCUAACUCAGUCUUUCAUGAGAGGACAAAGCAUAUAGAAGUUGAUUGCCACAAGGUGAGGCAGAUGAUUAUACUUGGAGUGAUACUGCCAUGUUAUACAAGAAGUGAAGAUCAGCUUGCAGAUGUGUUUACUAAGGCAGCGAGAUUAAAGACAAUGGAGUCCAUACUAUCAAGGCUUGGACUCAUUGAUCUUACUCCAAGGAGCUGAGCCCCUUAACCAUGGAGUCUCCACUCUUUUUCCCUCAUCAAGGUUUUAUCCCAUUGGGUUUUCCUUGGUGAAGUUUUUAAUGAGGGAGGUCUUCAUGGUUUCCAAGCUAGACAAGUUCUCUUAGUCUAGCUUGAGGGGGAGUGUUGAGAUGAAGAUCAAGAAGUGAAGAGAUGGAGCUUUGGGGUUAAUAGAGUGUUGAGGCUGAGACAGUAACUUUAGAGUUUACCAUGGUAACUUUUAUUUUACCACAGUAACUUUGGAGUGGUAAGAUAAAAGCAUGGGAAGUUACCUUGAACCUAUUUGGAGAAGGGAUCACGUCCAAAGGGGAGCAAGGAGUGGUGUGGAUAAGGUUUGGUCAUAGCUGGAAAGGUGAAGCCACUUUACAGCCUGUCCAAGCAUGUGAAGCCUCUCAGCAGCCAGCUAGCCUUGACUUCACAUGCUUUGAGUCUCAUUUCGAAAUCCCCUUUGUAUCAGCCUUAUCUCUUCAUUUAUAACUUGUAUCUGAGACAUUUAAAAAUUAAUUAAUGGAGUUUUGAGUCUCUCUCUCUCUAGAAUCUCUCUAUUCUCUCUAAACUUUACUCUAAUCUUCUCUGAUUAUUAUUAAACACACUCUAAAACACAAAAGUGUAUAUGGUAUCAGAGCCAGGUUGCUCAAAAGGGGGUGAGUGUGUGAUUUCUUUUUCGCAAAUCUGGGUUCUUUCUUGAGUGUUCUUAGUGUUCUUGGUGUUCUUGAGUGUUCUUGGUGAGUCUGGGUUAUGCUCUUCAGUCACUAGGCUCGUUUGGAUCUUUCUGAUGGAAACAAACAACCUAGGCAUGGAGAUGAAGCAUAGUUCUAGUAUUCCAUUGAAGCUUGAAGAGGAAACUGGUGGAAGUUGGUCAAGAUGGGCGAAGGCAGUGUUGAGGAGCUGUGUGUUGUGGAGUAGUCAUAAAAAGGGGAAGCCUUUGAGAAGAAUGGCUACAGAAGCAGGUCAGGCGUGGAGUCUGAGGUAUGAAGAUAGAGUUGUUCAAGAAAACCAUACAAGAUGUGGGAUUGAAGCAGCUCAUGGGAGUAGAUCCGAUCUGAAGAAGGUUUGUGGAGUCAAGAGAGCUAACACAGACCUGAGAAGAGGAAAGGAAGAACUCCAUCAGCUUGUGGGCAAGCUGAAAUACUUGUGGAGAGAGUUGGAUUUGUUGAGAUCAAGAACAUCAGAUCCGGAGGUGAUUCAAGAAAGGCUGGAGCAAGAUGUAGUCUUGAGCCUUCUAGUGAGCUUAAACUCAUCAUAUGGUCAGCUGAUUAUGCAAGUAGCCAAAGAUGAUGAGCGAGUAGAUGUGGAUGGGUUGUGUGAGCUUGUUCAGUCUUCAUAUAAAGUAUAUGAGAAGAGCAAGAGACUGAUCAGGAUCAGAGAUGGUACAAGGUGUAAGAAGGGAAGAUUGAGGAGACUGUCCAGGACUUGGGUCAUGGUGAGAAAGACUCAGAGGAAGAGUAGACAGUGUGGAUACUUUGGGAAUGAUAUGGAGACAAGACUGAUUAAAGAGUUUGCGCAGCAUGUGGUUAGAGGAGAGUGUUCCUACUCAGCCUAUAUGGGUAGUUCAGUAGAAGAAAGUGUGGUUAUGAAGGGGCAAGGAACCAAAGGAGCAGAUGAUCCUAUCACAAAGAAAGAAUGGGAUGGGUUUGUCAAGUAUGUGUAUGCUUUGGCUACGACCCGGAGACAAGGUGCUCCUGCCUUAGCAUCCACAUCCAAACCCAUCAUCAUUGAUUCUGGAGCAACACAUCAUAUGAUCAGUGAUAGAAGUCUGAUAAGUGAAGUCAAGGUUGCAACAGGGAGUGUCAUGAUAGCUAAUGGUGCUAGGAUCCCAAUAGAAGGAGUGGGAAACCUCAAGCUGUUUGAGAAGAACUCACCUGCAUUCUACCUGCCUCAGUUCACUUCAAAUCUGAUAUCAGUGAAGAAGGCCACAGUUGAUCUUGAUUGUCAAGUAGUAUUCAGGCCAAAUGAAGUUGAGUUUCAAGAUUUGAAGACUGGGAGAGUUAUUGGUAGAGGGGACAGCAAGAAUCAGUUAUAUCAUCUCCAAACAGCUAAGACCUCUAACCCUAUUGAUUCUGUAUGCUUGAGUAGUACUGCUGAUAGGUGUGAUAGUAUUACUUGGCAUGCUAGAUUAGGACAUCCUCAUGCUCGUGCAAUUGAAUUGAUUAUGCCUAAUAUGUCAUUCAAUCACUUGGAAUGUGAAGCUUGCAUCUUAGGGAAGCAUUGUAGAACUGUUUUUCCCACAUCAGAGACCAUAUAUGCAAAUUGCUUUGAUCUUGUUCAUUCUGAUGUGUGGACAGCCCCUUGUAUGUCUAGAGAAAACCAGAAGUACUUUGUGACAUUCAUAGAUGAGAAGUCUAAGUAUACAUGGAUCACAUUGCUGCCAUCUAAGGAUAGAGUUUUUGAGGCUUUUGUCAACUUCCAAGCAUAUGUAACUAACCAUUACAAUGCUACUGUGAAGGUACUAAGGUCUGAUAAUGGAGGAGAAUACACCAGUCAUGCCUUCAAGAAUCACUUGGCUAAACAUGGGAUAGUGCAUCAGACCAGUUUUCCUUACACACCACAGCAGAAUGGGGUAGCUGAGAGGAAGAAUAGGCAUCUGAUGGAGGUGGAUAGAUCCAUGAUGUAUCAUGCUAAUGUUCCAAAGAGGUUUUGGGGUGAUGCUGUUCAGACUGCAUGCUAUCUUAUCAAUCGGAUUCCAACUAAGGUAUUGAAGAAUCUGUCUCCUUUUGAGGUGCUGAACAAGAGCAAGCCAUACAUAGAUCAUCUGCGUGUCUUUGGAUGCCUAUGUUAUGUCUGGAUUCCAGGAGAACAGAGAAACAAGUUGGAGGCAAAGAGCACUAAAGCAAUGCUCAUUGGGUACUCAGUAACUCAGAAGGGGUACAAGUGCUAUGAUCCAGCAACUAGGAGAGUGUUGGUAUCUAGAGAUGUUAAGUUUAUAGAGGCAAAGGGUUAUUAUGAAGAAAAGAAUUGGGAAGACUUGGAAGAUCUGUCUCAAGAACCAAGAAACAUGGCAGAGAAUCUGAGGAACAUCUUGGAAAGGCUUGGGGUAAACAUGUCCCAAGAGAAGGUUAGAGAAGCUGAAAGAACUACCCCACUUGAUCAUGACGGGGGAAAUGAGUCUGAAUCAGGAGUGCAAGAGCAGCACCAAGGGAAUUCAGGUCAUCAUGAUCAAGAGGUGACACAAGAAGUAGAGAAUUUUCCUCAGGUGGAUGAGCAGGGAGAGGUUCAUGAUCAAGAGGAGGUGAGUGAGACAGAAACAGAGGUUCAAGCUGAGGAUCAGGUUCAGGCUUUGCGGAGGAGCACAAGGAUAAAGAGGGAUGCUUCCAACUGGGUAAACACGAGAGUGUACUACAAUGCCCAGGCUGUGGAGCAUCCUUCUCAAGCCGUGUGUUCCUUUGCAGAAUAUCCAGAAGAGCACAUGGUGUUUAUGUGUAACUUGGAUGAGAAUGAGAUACCAAGAUCUUAUGAAGAAGCUAUGAAGCACAAGGUUUGGAGAGAUUCAGUAGGAGAUGAAAGGGAUGCAAUGAUCAGGAAUGACACUUGGUAUGAGAGUGAGUUACCUAAAGGGAAGAAGGCAGUUUCAAGCAGAUGGAUCUUCACCAUCAAGUAUCUUGCAAAUGGGAAGAUAGAUAGGUGCAAGACCAGGCUGGUUGCAAGAGGAUUUACACAGACUUAUGGGGAGGAUUACAUUGAUACUUUUGCACCAGUAGCCAAGCUUCACACAAUUCGAAUUGUGUUAUCCAUUGCAACAAACUUGGAGUGGGAUUUGUGGCAAAUGGAUGUGAAGAAUGCUUUCUUGCAAGGUGAACUUGAAGAUGAAGUAUACAUGCAUCCGCCUCCUGGUCUUGAGCAUCUAGUAAAGCCAGGGAAUGUUUUGAGAUUGAAGAAGGCAAUAUAUGGGCUGAAACAGUCACCUAGAGCUUGGUACAGGAAGUUGAGUACAACACUCAAUGGGAGAGGCUUUAGGAAGUCUGAACUAGAUCACACUCUCUUCACCUUGACAGGACCUUCAGGGAUCAUUGUGAUUCUAGUGUAUGUGGAUGAUUUGAUUAUCACAGGAAGUGAUAAGGCAGGGAUUCAUGCCACUAAGGAGUUUCUCAAAUCUGUGUUUGACAUCAAGGAUUUGGGAGAGAUGAAGUAUUUUCUGGGCAUUGAGAUAUGUAGAUCAAAGGAGGGUUUGUUUAUGUCUCAAAGGAAGUAUACUAUGGAUAUGUUGAAGGAGACUGAUGUGCUUGGAGGAAAGAUAGCUAAGACACCUCUUGAGGAGGGGUAUAAGGUUCUGCGUGAGGGGGAGGUUGAAGAGAAGCAGUUGUUUGAUGAUGCUAAGCUGUAUAGGAAGAUGGUUGGCAAGCUGAUCUACUUGACUAUCACCAGACCUGAUAUAUGUUUUGCUGUGAAUCAAGUAAGUCAGCAUAUGCAGGCACCAAAGGUACAUCACUGGAAGAUGGUUGAUAGGAUACUGAGGUAUUUGAGUGGCACGCCUGGUCAAGGAGUUUGGAUGGGUUGUAAUGGCAGUACAGAAGUGGUUGGGUAUUGUGAUGCUGAUUGGGCAGGAGAUAGAGUGGACAGGAGAUCAACUACUGGGUAUUGUACAUUCAUUGGAGGGAACCUGGUUACUUGGAAAAGUAAGAAGCAGAAGGUCAUCUCCUGUUCAAGUGCUGAGGCUGAGUAUAGGGCUAUGCUGAAGCUAACAAACGAAUUGGUAUGGAUCAAGGGUAUCUUGAAGCAUUUGGAGAUUGAGCAGAGUACUCCUAUGACAAUGCACUGUGACAAUCAAGCAGCUAUCCACAUUGCUUCUAACUCAGUCUUUCAUGAGAGGACAAAGCAUAUAGAAGUUGAUUGCCACAAGGUGAGGCAGAUGAUUAUACUUGGAGUGAUACUGCCAUGUUAUACAAGAAGUGAAGAUCAGCUUGCAGAUGUGUUUACUA